GUGAAGAACGCAGCGAAAUGCGAUAAGUAAUGUGAAUUGCAGAAUUCAGUGAAUCAUCGAGUCUUUGAACGCACAUUGCGCCCCCUGGUAUUCCGGGGGGCAUGCCUGUCCGAGCGUCAUUGCUGCCCUCAAGCACGGCUUGUGUGUUGGGCCGCCGUCCCCGGUUUCCCCCGGGGACGGGCCCGAAAGGCAGCGGCGGCACCGCGUCCGAUCCUCGAGCGUAUGGGGCUUUGUCACCCGCUCUGUAGGCCCGGCCGGCGCCAGCCGACACCCAACUUUAUUUCUAAGGUUGACCUCGGAUCAGGUAGGGAUACCCGCUGAACUUAAGCAUAUCAAUAAGCGGAGGA
This 347-nucleotide unclassified non-coding RNA is filed under the name soil metagenome. RNAcentral describes it as "partial contains 5.8S ribosomal RNA, internal transcribed spacer 2, and large subunit ribosomal RNA". The stretch from base 2 to 119 matches the Rfam family "5.8S ribosomal RNA", at positions 37 to 154 of the family's 154-position model. The record is from RNAcentral.